RNAcentral lists this small RNA (284 nucleotides) under bovine gut metagenome. Its description in RNAcentral is "5' ureB small RNA". The stretch from base 4 to 249 matches the Rfam family "5' ureB small RNA". The record is from RNAcentral.
GGCGUGGAGAAAGAUAGUGCACAUGCAGAUCUAUACCCCCUGCCGUAACAAUCAUGCCCUCUCCGGAUAUGGCCUCCGUGCUGGCUCCCACAAUAAAAUCCACAUCGUCCAUAAUAUCCGGGUUGCCGCCCUUGCCGAUGGCCAGUAUCCUGCCGUCCCGGAUUCCGAUAUCCGCCUUAUAGAUUCCUGUAUAAUCAAGGAUGAUAGCUCCGGAUAUAAUGGUAUCCGCGACCAGGGGAUUCGUCUUGCGAAGCUGGGUGGCAUUGACACCCAUGCCGUCCCGC